Non-coding RNA from Paramuricea clavata, 217 nucleotides. Lineage: Eukaryota; Metazoa; Cnidaria; Anthozoa; Malacalcyonacea; Plexauridae. The record is from the annotation of a GenBank genome assembly.
UACAUGCACGUGCAGUUAGAGCUUGACACCUGGACUUUGUAGCUUAGUUAGUUACAGCACUGGACCGGAAUCGCAGAGACGCAGGUUUGAUUCCUGCUAGAUGGCCUAUAGAUGCAUUUAAAUAGAGAGAUUUAUGCCCGUAUUCUAAAAGCUCACUCACACUCGAUGAGUGGAGGUUCAAUCUGAGCUUCUCUUGAGUGUCAAUGCUGUUUUGGAA